RNAcentral lists this ribosomal RNA (887 nucleotides) under Curvularia sp. RK-2006a. Its description in RNAcentral is "SSU rRNA". It matches the Rfam family "Eukaryotic small subunit ribosomal RNA", at positions 555 to 1470 of the family's 1831-position model. The record is from RNAcentral. Lineage: Eukaryota; Fungi; Ascomycota; Dothideomycetes; Pleosporales; Pleosporaceae.
GCAAGUCUGGUGCCAGCAGCCGCGGUAAUUCCAGCUCCAAUAGCGUAUAUUAAAGUUGUUGCAGUUAAAAAGCUCGUAGUUGAAACUUGGGCCUGGCUGGCGGGUCCGCCUCACCGCGUGCACUCGUCCGGCCGGGCCUUCCUUCUGAAGAACCUCAUGCCCUUCACUGGGCGUGUUGGGGAAUCAGGACCUUUACUUUGAAAAAAUUAGAGUGUUCAAAGCAGGCCUUUGCUCUAAUACGUUAGCAUGGAAUAAUAAAAUAGGGCGUGCGUUUCUAUUUUGUUGGUUUCUAGAGACGCCGCAAUGAUUAACAGGAACAGUCGGGGGCAUCAGUAUUCAGUUGUCAGAGGUGAAAUUCUUGGAUUUACUGAAGACUAACUACUGCGAAAGCAUUUGCCAAGGAUGUUUUCAUUAAUCAGUGAACGAAAGUUAGGGGAUCGAAGACGAUCAGAUACCGUCGUAGUCUUAACCGUAAACUAUGCCGACUAGGGAUCGGGCGAUGUUCUUUUUCUGACUCGCUCGGCAUCUUACGAGAAAUCAAAGUUUUUGGGUUCUGGGGGGAUUAUGGUCGCAAGGCUGAAACUUAAAGAAAUUGACGGAAGGUCACCACCAGGCGUGGAGCCUGCGGCUUAAUUUGACUCAACACGGGGAAACUCACCAGGUCCAGAUGAAAUAAGGAUUGACAGAUUGAGAGCUCUUUCUUGAUUUUUCAGGUGGUGGUGCAUGGCCGUUCUUAGUUCGUGGGGUGACUUGUCUGCUUAAUUGCGAUAACGAGCGAGACCUUCCUCUGCUAAAUAGCCAGGCUAGCUUUGGCUGGUCGCCGGCUUCUUAGAGAGACUAUCAACUCAAGUUGAUGGAAGUUGGAGGCAAUAACAGGUCUGUGAUGC